Wasmannia auropunctata (little fire ant) is the source of this 360-nucleotide long non-coding RNA. RefSeq lists it as uncharacterized. NCBI's taxonomy places the organism in Eukaryota, Metazoa, Arthropoda, Insecta, Hymenoptera, Formicidae. The transcript is spliced from 3 exons. The record is from RefSeq and is a predicted model, not a curated record.
CGCCAACAAAUGGCUGCUUGAAACGCCGCCGAUCGGAAGAGAGUGGAGAUGACGAUGGGUAUUAUUGCGUUUGCAAUGCGACAUAUUGCGACGAAGCUCCGGAUGUGAAUAGAACAUCGAAUUCCACGGAAUACGUCUUAAUAACAUCCAGCAAAAGUGGUUUGUUCUUCUACGUAUCAAACGGUGUAUAUGAAAAUGUUAAGGAGACCGACGCUCCUUCACUGGGAAAGAUCACUAUAAAUCGAGCGGACGUAUACCAAGAAAUUUUCGGAUUCGGUGGAGCUGUAACUGAUUCAGCAGCUUUAAAUAUUAAUAAUCUAACGUACGAGACGUCCGAGCACUUGUUAAGAAGCUACUUCG